Molecule: ribosomal RNA, 595 nt
Filed under: uncultured eukaryote
Lineage: Eukaryota
Description: SSU rRNA
Rfam family: Eukaryotic small subunit ribosomal RNA
Source: RNAcentral
AGCUCCAAUAGCGUAUAUUAAAGUUGUUGCCGUUAAAAAGCUCGUAGUCGAACUUCGGCCCCUGUCGGUCGGUCCGCCUUCUUGGUGUGUACUUACUCGACGGGGGCUUACCUCCUGGUGAGCUGCGAUGUCCUUUACUGGGUGUCGUAGGGAACCAGGACGUUUACUUUGAAAAAAUUAGAGUGUUCAAAGCAGGCCUACGCCCGAAUACAUUAGCAUGGAAUAAUAGAAUAGGACGCGCGUUCCCAUUUUGUUGGUUUCUGAGAUCGCCGUAAUGUUUAAUAGGGAUAGUUGGGGGCAUUUGUAUUCCGUCGUCAGAGGUGAAAUUCUUGGAUUGCCGGAAGACAAACUAUUGCGAAAGCAUUUGCCAAGGAUGUUUUCAUUGAUCAAGAACGAAGGAAGGGGGAUCGAAAACGAUCAGAUACCGUUGUAGUCUCUUCUGUAAACUAUGCCAAUUGGGGAUUAGACCAGGAUUUUUAAUGACUGGUUUAGCACCCGAAGAGAAAUCUUUAAAUGAGGUUCGGGGGGGAGUAUGGUCGCAAGGCUGAAACUUAAAGGAAUUGACGGAAGGGCACCACCAGGUGUGGAGCCUGCG